This is a long non-coding RNA of Oncorhynchus tshawytscha (Chinook salmon), 2792 nucleotides long. Lineage: Eukaryota; Metazoa; Chordata; Actinopteri; Salmoniformes; Salmonidae. The record is from Ensembl.
CAUCAGUUUAUUCACAGGCAUUCCCCAGACAGCAUCAGUUUAUUAACAGGCAUUCCCCAGACAGCAUCAGUUUAUUAACAGGCAUUCCCCAGACAGCAUCAGUUUAUUCACAGGCAUUCCCCAGACAGCAUCAGUUUAUUAACAGGCAUUCCCCAGACAGCAUCAGUUUAUUCACAGGCAUUCCCCAGACAGCAUCAUUGCGGCAAAACAAUAAAUAUACAAGACUACCAAACCACGCCCCUAUAAUACUCACAAUGCCUAUGUUUCGUGACAGCAGCCUACGGAAAGCCCUUAAGACAAACUGUGCUGUAUCAGCAUACUAGAUGACACCUUAUUCCCUAUGUAGUGCACUAUGUGUGACCAGGGCCUCAUAAGAAGACCCAUAGGGCUCUGGUCAAUAGUAGUGCACUACCCCAUAAGGCUCUGGUCGAUAGUAGUGCACUACCCCAUAGGGCUCUGGUCAAUAGUAGUGCACUACCCCAUAGGGCUCUGGUCAAUAGUAGUGCACUACCCCAUAGGGCUCUGGUCAAUAGUAGUGCACUACCCCAUAGGGCUCUGGUCAAUAGUAGUGCACUACCCCAUAGGGCUCUGGUCAAUAGUAGUGCACUACCCAUAGGGCUCUGGUCAAUAGUAGUCCACUACCCAUAGGGCUCUGGUCAAUAGUAGUGCACUACCCAUAGGGCUCUGGUCAAUAGUAGUGCACUACCCCAUAGGGCUCUGGUCAAUAGUAGUGCACUACAGAAAUACCUUAUUUACAUAAGUAUUCAGACCCUUUGCUAUGAGAGUCAAAAUUGAGCUCAGGUGCUUCCUGUUUCCAUUGAUCAUCCUUGACAUGUUUUUACAACUUGGAGUCCACCUCUGGUAAAUUGAAUUGAUUGGACAUGAUUUGGAAAGGCACACACCUGUCUAUAUAAGGUCCCACAGUUGGCAGUGCAGGUCAGAGCGAAAACCAAGCCAUGAGAUCGAAGGAAUUGUCCGUAAGAGCUCAGAGACAGGAUUGUGUCGAGGCACCGAUCUGGGGAGGGUACCAAACCAUUUCUGCAGCAUUGAAGGUCCCCAAGAACACAGUGGCCUCCAUCAUUCUUAAAUGGAAGAAGUUUGGAACCACCAGGACUCUUCUUUGAGCUGGCCGCCCGGCCAAACUGACCAAUCAGGGGAGAAGGGCCUUGGUCAGGGAGGUGACCAAGAACCUGAUGGUCACUCUGACAGAGCUCCUCUUGGAGAUAGGAGAACCUUCCAGAAGGACAACCAUCUCUGCAGCACUCCACCAAUCAGGCCUUUAUGGUAGAGUGGCCAGACGGAAGCCUCUCCUCAGUAAAAGGCACAUGCCAGUCUGCUUGGAGUUUGCCAAAAGGCACCUAAAGACUCACAGACCAUGAGAAACACGAUUCUCUGGUCAGAUGAAACUAAGAUUGAACUCUUUGGCCUGAAUGCCAAGCGUCACGUCUGGAGGAAAUCUGGCACCAUCCCUACGAUGAAGCAAGGUGGUGGCAGCAUCACUACGAUGAAGCAAGGUGGUGGCAGCAUCACUACGAUGAAGCAAGGUGGUGGCAGCAUCACUACGAUGAAGCAAGGUGGUGGCAGCAUCACUACGAUGAAGCAAGGUGGUGGCAGCAUCACUACGGUGAAGCAAGGUGGUGGCAGCAUCAGGCUGUGGGGAUAAUGUUCAGCGGCAGGGACUGGGAGACUAGUCAGGAUCGAGGCAAAGAUGAAUGGAGCAAAGUACAGAGAGAUCCUUGAUGAAAACCUGCUCCAAAGCUUCUCGGACCUCAGACUGGGGUGAAGAUUCACCCUUCCAACAGGACAACGACCCUAAGCACACAGCCAAGACAACGCAGGAGUGGCUUCGGAAAAGUCUCUGAAUGUCCUUGAGUGGCCCAACCAGAGCCCGGUCUUGAACCCGAUCUAACAUCUCUGGAGAGAACUGAAAAUAGCUGUGCAGCAACCCUCCCCAUCUAACCUGACAGAGCUUGAGAGGCUCUGCAGAGAAGAAUGGGAGAAACUCCCCAAAUACAGGUGUGCCAAGCUUGUAGUGUCAUACCCAAGAAGACUUGAGGCUGUAAUAAAUGCCAAAGUACUGAGUAAAGGGUCUGAAUACUUAUGUAAAUUAAAAUAAAAAAUAAAACCUGUUUUUGUUAUGUCAUUAUGGGGUAUUGUGAUGUCAUUAUGGGGUAUUGUUAUGUCAUUGUGGGGUAUUGUGUGUAGAUUCAUGAGGGAAAUAAACAAUUUAACCCAUUUUUAGAACAAGGUUACAGAAUGUGGAAUAAGUCAAGGGGUCUGAACACUUCCAAAUGUACUGUACAGGGAAUAGGGUACGAUAUAGAAUAGGGUGCGAUAUAGGGAGUAGGGUCCUGUAUAGGGAGUAGGGUGCGAUAUAGGGAGUAGGGUACGAUAUAGGGAAUAGGGUACGAUAUAGGGAAUAGGGUACUGUAUAGAAUAGGGUGCGAUAUAGGGAAUAGGGUACGGUAUAGGGAAUAGGGUACCAUUUGGGAUGCAGUAUAAUGCCCAACUAAGCACAUAGUAGAUUAUGUGAAUGAUUAUGUUCCCAUCAUAUCUGAGGUCCCAUUGAGUUGAAUCUGUUCUGAUGGGAUAUACUGAGUUAUCGUUGAUACAUAGACACAGAUGAGACAUACUGAGUUAUAGUUGAUACGUAGACACAGUAGAUUACACAGACACAGACACAGAUGAGACAUACUGAGUUAUCGUUGAUACAUAGACACAGAUGAGACAUACUGAGUUAUAGUUGAUACAUAGACACAGAUGAGACAUACUGAGUUAUAGUUGAUACAUAG